GAUGAACGCUAGCGAUAGGCCUAACACAUGCAAGUCGAGGGGCAUCACAUGAAGUAGCAAUACGGAUGGUGGCGACCGGCGCACGGGUGAGUAACACGUAUGCAACCUGCCUUCAACAAGGGGAUAACCCGUUGAAAGACGGACUAAUACCCUAUAACACAGGGGUCCCGCAUGGGAAUAUUUGUUAAAGGACAACCGGUUGAAGAUGGGCAUGCGUUCCAUUAGCUAGUUGGCGGGGUAACGGCCCACCAAGGCAACGAUGGAUAGGGGAACUGAGAGGUUUAUCCCCCACACUGGUACUGAGACACGGACCAGACUCCUACGGGAGGCAGCAGUGAGGAAUAUUGGUCAAUGGACGCAAGUCUGAACCAGCCACGUCGCGUGAAGGAAGACGGCCCUACGGGUUGUAAACUUCUUUUAUACGGGAAUAAAGUGCCCCACGCGUGGGGUUUUGCAUGUACCGUAUGAAUAGGAUCGGCUAACUCCGUGUCAGCAGCCGCGGUAAAU
Molecule: ribosomal RNA, 507 nt
Filed under: uncultured bacterium
Lineage: Bacteria
Description: bacterial SSU rRNA
Rfam family: Bacterial small subunit ribosomal RNA
Source: RNAcentral